Molecule: ribosomal RNA, 497 nt
Filed under: uncultured bacterium
Lineage: Bacteria
Description: partial 16S ribosomal RNA
Rfam family: Bacterial small subunit ribosomal RNA
Source: RNAcentral
GAUGAACGCUGGCGGCGUGCCUAAUACAUGCAAGUCGAGCGAACAGACGAGGAGCUUGCUCCUUUGACGUUAGCGGCUGACGGGUGAGUAACACGUGGGUAACCUACCUAUAAGACUGGGAUAACUUCGGGAAACCGGAGCUAAUACCGGAUAAUAUUUCGAACCGCAUGGUUCGAUAGUGAAAGAUGGCUCUGCUAUCACUUAUAGAUGGACCUGCGCCGUAUUAGCUAGUUGGUAAGGUAACGGCUUACCAAGGCAACGAUACGUAGCCGACCUGAGAGGGUGAUCGGCCACACUGGAACUGAGACACGGUCCAGACUCCUACGGGAGGCAGCAGUAGGGAAUCUUCCGCAAUGGGCGAAAGCCUGACGGAGCAACGCCGCGUGAGUGAUGAAGGUCUUCGGAUCGUAAAACUCUGUUAUUAGGGAAGAACAAACGUGUAAGUAACUGUGCACGUCUUGACGGUACCUAAUCAGAAAGCCACGGCUAACUACGUG